This 1113-nucleotide long non-coding RNA is filed under the name Parus major (Great Tit). RNAcentral describes it as "lncRNA (ENSPMJG00000012777.1)". Lineage: Eukaryota; Metazoa; Chordata; Aves; Passeriformes; Paridae. The record is from RNAcentral.
GGCUGUUCGCAAUCGCAACAAGCGACUGCACCCUGCCUUGGCGGGGUGAAUCAUCUUCCCAGGGUCAGGGUAAGCCUAACCUGGAGUAACUGCCCGCCUCCUGCAGCCCACUCGCACCCCUCCCUUACACCCCCACUGAAGUCGCAUCACAUCCCUCUGUUGCACUCUGUGUCCCCUCUCGUACCCCCACAUUAUCCCCCCAGAAUCCGCGUUACACCUUUUGUACCGCUCGCUCUUCCGCUGCAGCCCAGCGGCAUCUCCUGCUUUAACCCCACUGAAUCCCCAUCACAGCUCCACCGAAUCCCCUCAUUCCAUUCGCCUUUCCACCCCUCUUGCAGUCCCCAUGGAAGCCCCAUUACUUCUCCCUGCAUUCCUUUUGCAGCCUCGUUGCAUCCCCGCCUUGCAUCUCCACUGAGGUCCCUCUACAUCCCCCCUCUGUAUCCAUCUCUCAGCCCUUGUCUCCCCCGGUCACCUCGGCAAAGCAGCCCCUCCGCACCCCCCUUGCACGGCGUUGGAACUCCCGCUUUCUCCCCUGUCUCGUCCCCCUUCCAGCCCGGCUGUGUCCCGCCUAUCCCCCGGUGCCAUCCCGCCCCGCGGAGCCGCAUCCCCGCCUCUCGCUGCGCCCCGCGGAGCCGCACCGGCGCGGGGGAGGGCGCACGGAGCCGCCGCGUUCCGCCGCCCGGCGGUGCCAUCACGGCCCGGCACGGCUCGGAUCGGCACGGAGACGGCUGAGUCCGAGCGCUCUCGUGACAUCAGAUGUGCCGUGCAUGCUCUGCUGCGUGCGUGUGCGGCAGGAUGAGGAUGGCGACGGGGUCCGGAAGGAGGAUGGGCACAUUAUGAAUUUCUAAACCAGCAGCUGACUGGCAGCACAGCCUGCUCGGGUCAUGGUUUUCAUCCACCCUGUCCCCAGGCUGGCUGGCAGUGAUGCUGAUACCCUGCAUAUUCCCAGCCUGGGGUACAGCAGCAGGGUCAGGGACCAGCCCAGGCUCUGUGGCUCGUCUUGGAGCCGUGUUGCACAGAUACAAAUUGCUCAGAUGGACGUUUUGUGAAACGCUGCUGAAGAAAUAAUGAUUGCAUUUCUGCCAUCUAUAAAUAAAUGAAGGUGAAAGGGCA